RNAcentral lists this ribosomal RNA (804 nucleotides) under Paenibacillus sp. RM115. RNAcentral's name for it is "bacterial SSU rRNA". It matches the Rfam family "Bacterial small subunit ribosomal RNA", at positions 338 to 1123 of the family's 1533-position model. The record is from RNAcentral. Lineage: Bacteria; Bacillati; Bacillota; Bacilli; Caryophanales; Paenibacillaceae.
CCUACGGGGGGCAGCAGUAGGGGAAUCCUUCCCGGCAAUUGGGGCCAAAAGCCUUGACGGAAGCCAAUUGCCGCGUGAGUGAUGAAGGUUUUCGGAUCGUAAAGCUCUGUUGCCAGGGAAGAACGCUUAGGAGAGUAACUGCUCCUGAGGUGACGGUACCCGAGAAGAAAGCCCCGGCUAACUACGUGCCAGCAGCCGCGGUAAUACGUAGGGGGCAAGCGUUGUCCGGAAUUAUUGGGCGUAAAGCGCGCGCAGGCGGUCAUUUAAGUCUGGUGUUUAAUCCCGGGGCUCAACCCCGGAUCGCACUGGAAACUGGGUGACUUGAGUGCAGAAGAGGAGAGUGGAAUUCCACGUGUAGCGGUGAAAUGCGUAGAUAUGUGGAGGAACACCAGUGGCGAAGGCGACUCUCUGGGCUGUAACUGACGCUGAGGCGCGAAAGCGUGGGGAGCAAACAGGAUUAGAUACCCUGGUAGUCCACGCCGUAAACGAUGAGUGCUAGGUGUUAGGGGUUUCGAUACCCUUGGUGCCGAAGUUAACACAUUAAGCACUCCGCCUGGGGAGUACGGUCGCAAGACUGAAACUCAAAGGAAUUGACGGGGACCCGCACAAGCAGUGGAGUAUGUGGUUUAAUUCGAAGCAACGCGAAGAACCUUACCAGGUCUUGACAUCCCUCUGACCGGUACAGAGAUGUACCUUUCCUUCGGGACAGAGGAGACAGGUGGUGCAUGGUUGUCGUCAGCUCGUGUCGUGAGAUGUUGGGUUAAGUCCCGCAACGAGCGCAACCCUUAUAUUUAGUUGCCAGCA